This is a long non-coding RNA of Symphalangus syndactylus (siamang), 673 nucleotides long. RefSeq lists it as uncharacterized. Lineage: Eukaryota; Metazoa; Chordata; Mammalia; Primates; Hylobatidae. The record is from RefSeq and is a predicted model, not a curated record.
GAGGGAGGCCUGGGCGCGGCCUCCGGGAGGCUGCAGCACGGGUCUGAGGUAAAUGGCCCGCCCGCUGCUGAGCCCUCGCGGGGGCUGGUUCCAGCAGCAACCGCUGGGCAGGGCCCCUCCCGACCGCGACCUCCUGUCCGCAGCAUAGGGCAGCCGGCCGGGCCAGCCUCCCGCACAAGACUACCGAGGAAGAGAUGGGAUUUCACUCUGUCACCCAGGCGGGAGUGCAGUGGUGCAAUCAUAGCAGGGACUACAAGUGUGCACCACGUGGCUUGGCUACGAACCUGAAGUAUUCUGAUGCAGUGGAGAGAGUGUAGAACUCUAGAGUGAAGAGACCUGCCUGGAACCCUGACUCUAUCACUAGAACCACAUAAUGAACCUUCCAUGCCUUUUCUGUGGUUUGUAAUGUGACCUCUACCACAUAUCACAUUCCCAUACAAAGAUGGAGUCUCCCUGUGUAGUCCAGGCUGCAGUGCAGUGGUGUGAUCUCAGUUCAAUGCAAUCUCUGCCUUCUGGCUUCAAGCAAUUCUCCUGCCUCAGCCUCCCCUGUAGCUGGGAUUACAGAUGGCCCUGGGACUAAGAAGUGGAUGGCAGCCGUGACAGCGGGAAAGGACUGCCUGAGGCUCCCUGGGCAGAGGCUCUGGUGCCAGGUUAGCAGCAGGACCGAUGGCAG